AGAGAGAGAGAACAGUCGUUUGCCUUUCUUCCAAACACCAGACACAGCCGGCGAUUUAUUCUCCCUUUUUUUUCUUUUUUUUUAUACGGAAAUUAAAUACCCCCUUCUUAUUUUUCCAAGUGGUGCUUAGUGUGCUGUUCUACCCUUUCACUCUCGGCGCGUGCCUUUCUGCGCCUGGGCCGUGUUCCCCGAAUUCACCAAAUCUGUCAUACAAAAUUAUUUUCCUUUUUCUUUUCUUCUUUCAUAUUUGUUUCCUUUAUUUUCUGAUAUCCGAACCAAGAAAAAAUUAAUCUUGCCUUCCUUGUCUUUAAAAAAAAUCUUGAUUUUUGAUUUAGCGAGUCAAUUUUGACAAAGACCCAAUGACAUAAUUGAUACACGGUAACUAAUUAGAAGAAAAGAGUUAUGGAAAUUCAUGUAUGCAUACAAUCUUAACCGUUUAUAACAAUUCAUAUGUUUGACCACAAUGUUUUUAUAUUAUUUCUUCUAUUCCUGACCAUCCACAUAUAUAUAUAUGUGAAGAUACACGUCAUGUAUUGAAGAUGCUCUCAGUUAUGAAAUUCAUGUAUACACGACGUGUAUUUACACGACACAAUACAAGUCAAUUAAAUAAGACAAAAUUGAUACAAGGUAAAUCAUGUUUCCAAUCAAGAUAUUCACUUAACACACUUAACCUAAUAUAUCAAAUGAUUUCACGGUAUUCUUUCAUUUUUGGUGUAGUCCUACACAAAAACCUUUUUAUGUGAGAUGAUACGUUGUGCAUUUUGUAGAGCUUAAAAUGUGUUAUACAAGCAUUUUACAUAAACACAAAAUCUCACGGCUGCUGUUAACAAAGUGAGUACAUUUUAUUGUUUUAACAAUUUAAAAAUUCAAAAUAAAUUAAGUCAUGUUCUAGGAUAUUCUCUAUGUGUGCCUUGGCCUUAUGCUAAUAGGAUAUGUAGUUAGACUAGAUCUAUGUAUUCAUAUCCUUACCAUAUUGGUAUUGUGUAAUUCCCUAUAU
Molecule: long non-coding RNA, 997 nt
Filed under: Fragaria vesca (wild strawberry)
Lineage: Eukaryota; Viridiplantae; Streptophyta; Magnoliopsida; Rosales; Rosaceae
Description: long non-coding RNA (FVES_LNC005280)
Source: RNAcentral